CUUGCUUUGAAGUCUCCAAACAAGCCUGUGGCAUUCAUGAUAGUGUUUUUGUGCCAGCAUAUUAAAGGGGGUCGUAACUGUAGAGCUAGUUGGAUUGUAUCUUAACUUUAGAAAAUUGACUAUUUCUAUAAGGAAACAAGCUUCCAAACAAAAAGUUAACACAGUUUUUGACAGCAUCUUAGCUAACAGAGACAACUGAUUUCUAGGCAUUUUGGGGAAGACAAACUACUGAAACUUUGUGGCUCUUACUCUAAGGAAAAAAAAGGAGUUCAAGUAUAGCCACUGCUAUUGCUAGAUGAUAUGGCAUUUUUCCUACAGUUCAGUUGUCAAGGAUGCACCAAAACAGCUCUGUGUUGCUUCUUGGUCUCAGGCCAAGUGGGGCAGGUGAAGUGCUGCACAAUGGAGGGAAAAGCAGACGGACGGCGGCAAGAGGGAAGGACUUGUCAAUGCUCCCUAAAACGGCAGAUGGUGCUGAAGGCCAGGGCAGCGCACACGAACUGGGGACGCGCUCCAGCUCUGACCAGGAUAUGGCUUUCCUGGUUCUUGCCAUUUGGAACUGUUCUUCUGGUGUCU
Molecule: long non-coding RNA, 573 nt
Filed under: Apteryx rowi (Okarito brown kiwi)
Lineage: Eukaryota; Metazoa; Chordata; Aves; Apterygiformes; Apterygidae
Description: lncRNA (ENSARWG00000005631.1)
Source: RNAcentral